This is a non-coding RNA of Pelobates cultripes (western spadefoot toad), 847 nucleotides long. The record is from the annotation of a GenBank genome assembly. NCBI's taxonomy places the organism in Eukaryota, Metazoa, Chordata, Amphibia, Anura, Pelobatidae.
AAUGAAACUGCUAUGUUUACAUUUCAGUGUUAAUCCAGCCUCUAGUGGCUGUCUUCAUGACAGCCGCUAGAGGCACUUCUGCGACGCAGGAUGCGAAAAUCACAUCCAGCGUGCUGAACGUCCAUAGGAAAGCAUUGAGAAAUGCUUUCCUAUGGACUGUUUGAAUGCGCGCGCAGCUCUUGCCACACAUGCGCAUUCAGCUCCACUCGGGAGCUGACGUAUGCGAGGGAGGAUAGGUCACCAGCGCAGAGGGCGCUGUAUUAAGGUAAGUGGCUGAAGGGGUUUUAUCCCCUUCAGCACCAAGUGAGGGGGCCCUGGGGGUGGGGGAUCCUAAGGGUUGUAUAGUGUCAGGAAAACUAAUUUGUUUUCCUGACACUAUAGUGAUCCCUUAAGUCUUUCCACGUCUGCAGGGGUUAAAAGCAAGAAUUUUCUCUCUUGGCUGCAAUCGGUACUCCCUUUUCUCUUUCUCAGGGCAAGCACAACCUCCCUUUUCUCUGUCUCACAGGCCAAGAUAACCUUUGCAUAGUUUAGAGAAGACGUGCUAAACAUACACAGUGGAUUUCCUGUAAUAAGAAAUGUUAGAUGAAUAAUUAUACUUUUUGCACUAAACAUCUAUGGUUGGUUGAUUUUGUCUUCUGUUGGAGAUACCCCUAUGUAAACUGUGUUUGUUUCAUAUAUACACUGUACCUGCAUUAAAAAUCUUUUUUAAAGAAAAGACACUUCUUUCUUAAACUUCAUAAUGACUGGUCUGCUUUAAUUGUACAUUAAUUGUUCGCUGCAGUGAACAUAAAAAAAGAUUAAGGAAAGCAGGGUGUGUUAACAGCAUAAGUCCAUGGCAGCUUAAAGG